AUGAGCUGUUCUUCCAGCACCCACCAACAACGGAAGAUCCCCCGAGAUCUUAUCCUGGGACGCUCUUUCAUGGAAAGUGGCAGUCCCAUUUUCAAAGUGGUGAAGAGCCGCCGGCGAAAGUUCUCCGUCACAAACUGCCAUGAGAGGACCGGCCAAGAUGGUGACCACGGCGACAGGAAGAAAAAGCAUAGAGAGAUGGAGAGGCAAAGGCGGCAAGAAAUGGCUUCACUCUGCGAGGUUCUUAGAUCCGAACUGCCCCUCGAAUUCAUCAAGGGGAAGCGUUCGAUGUCGGAUCACAUGAGCGAGGCCGUGAAUUACAUCAAACAUCUGCAGGGGAAGAUUAGAGAGCUGAGCUUCAAGAGAGACGAGCUCAAGAACAUAUAUAGCUUGGCUUCCCUGGACUCUCCUAGCUCCGAUUCUUCAUGGUCGACCUCGUUUACGGUCAAUUCAUGCUGCGACAGUGUGGAGGUCGUGAUCUGCCGAAGCAUCAGGGAUAAGCAUUUGCUGUUAUCUACUGUAAUAGAGCUACUGCUUCAGCAAGGACUUGACGUUGUUAGCUGUUUUUCCAGUCUAGCGUAUGAUGGGAUAGUCCACACAAUCCACUGCGAGCUGGCCUAUGGGAACGGAAGUUUCGAUUUGACCCGCUUGAAGGGGGAACUCAAGGAACUGCUCAAUCCAUUGGGGAACCCGUGAUUGCAAUGCGCAAGUAAUCUAACACGUGACUACCGAGAUUGUUGUAAUACUAAAGACGAUUUGCGACCCUUAUGGCGAUUGAUUUCCUAGAGCAACGCAUUUCGAAGGAUGAGGCCUCCUGCUUGUUUUUUACUCAGUUUCUGAUAUAGCAUAAGAUUUAGGAGGUUUUCAAGACUCUUCUGUCACUCGCAUCAUUCGUUGAUGAGCAACAAUGGUUUAUGAAGGCGAUGGAGAAAAUAUGAUGCUCUAUUCAUACUUAAUUGUUUCCAUGUA
Molecule: RNA transcript, 966 nt
Organism: Rhodamnia argentea
Lineage: Eukaryota; Viridiplantae; Streptophyta; Magnoliopsida; Myrtales; Myrtaceae
Gene name: transcription factor bHLH36-like
Exons: 4
Source: RefSeq, a predicted model, not a curated record